GGCGCGGGUGGAGCAGCUCGGUAGCUCGCUGGGCUCAUAACCCAGAGGUCGCAGGUUCAAAUCCUGUCCCCGCUA
RNAcentral lists this transfer RNA (75 nucleotides) under Streptomyces parvulus. RNAcentral describes it as "tRNA-Met". It matches the Rfam family "tRNA". From Rfam's summary of the family: Transfer RNA (tRNA) molecules are approximately 80 nucleotides in length. Their secondary structure includes four short double-helical elements and three loops (D, anti-codon, and T loops). The record is from RNAcentral. Lineage: Bacteria; Bacillati; Actinomycetota; Actinomycetes; Kitasatosporales; Streptomycetaceae. RNAcentral also lists the same sequence under 1 other name.